UAUGUGAUCGUCUCUCGCAUAUCAAUAAGCGGAGGAAAAGAAACUAACAAGGAUUCCCCUAGUAACGGCGAGUGAAGCGGGAAGAGCUCAAAUUUGAAAUCUUAAAGGGUUUCCCUUUACGAAUUGUAGUUUAAAGAAGUGUUUUCUGUUGAGGUUUUGGUAAAAGUUCUUUGGAAUAGGACAUCAUAGAGGGUGAGAAUCCCGUAUUUGACCUUUACUUUCAACUUUGUGAUACACUUUCAAAGAGUCGGAUUGUUUGGGUAAUGCAGUCCAAAAUGGGUGGUAAAUUUCAUCUAAAGCUAAAUAUUGGCGAGAGACCGAUAGCGAACAAGUACCGUGAGGGAAAUAGAUGAAAAGAACUUUGAAAAGAGAGUUAAACAGUACGUGAAAUUGUCAAAAGGGAAGCGUUUGACACCAGUGUUGUUUUUCUGAAAAUCAAUUAAAGAACUGUUUAUGCUAAGUUGUUUAGACUUUAUCAGCUAACUGUUUAGUUUUGAGCUUUUCUUUAAUGCACUUUUCAGUUAACAAGUCAACAUCAAUUUCUUUUGCUGUAAAAAAGCUUGAGGGAGGUGGCUUGAGAUUCGUCUUAAGUGUUUAUAGCCUCUUGCCUAUGCAGUCGGAGAGAUUGAGGUCUGCAGCGUAGAUCCUUCGGGGCUAAAUGCAUUUGUGCUAAGUUAUAGCAUUUUAUAGACAACUUGUUGACUAUGAUUUGUCUUGUAGCUUACUCGCUUAUGUUAUUUUACCUACGCUUAGGAUGUUGAUCUACAGAGCGAGAGU
RNAcentral lists this ribosomal RNA (777 nucleotides) under uncultured Neocallimastigales. RNAcentral describes it as "partial large subunit ribosomal RNA". It matches the Rfam family "Eukaryotic large subunit ribosomal RNA", at positions 24 to 631 of the family's 3401-position model. Lineage: Eukaryota; Fungi; Neocallimastigomycota; Neocallimastigomycetes; Neocallimastigales. The record is from RNAcentral.